GAGUUUGAUCCUGGCUCAGGAUGAACGCUGGCGGCGUGCUUAACACAUGCAAGUCGAACGGGAAAUACUUUAUUGAAACUUCGGUGGAUUUAAUUUAUUUCUAGUGGCGGACGGGUGAGUAACGCGUGGGUAACCUGCCUUAUACUGGGGGAUAACAGCCAGAAAUGACUGCUAAUACCGCAUAAGCGCACAGAACCGCAUGGUUCGGUGUGAAAAACUCCGGUGGUAUAAGAUGGACCCGCGUUGGAUUAGCUAGUUGGCAGGGCAGCGGCCUACCAAGGCGACGAUCCAUAGCCGGCCUGAGAGGGUGAACGGCCACAUUGGGACUGAGACACGGCCCAGACUCCUACGGGAGGCAGCAGUGGGGAAUAUUGCACAAUGGGGGAAACCCUGAUGCAGCGACGCCGCGUGAAGGAAGAAGUAUCUCGGUAUGUAAACUUCUAUCAGCAGGGAAGAUAAUGACGGUACCUGACUAAGAAGCCCCGGCUAACUACGUGCCAGCCGCCGCGGUAAUUC
Molecule: ribosomal RNA, 516 nt
Filed under: uncultured bacterium
Lineage: Bacteria
Description: bacterial SSU rRNA
Rfam family: Bacterial small subunit ribosomal RNA
Source: RNAcentral